CCCAGUGUGGUGUAGUGGUUUGAAUGUUAGACUAUGACUCUGGAGACAAGGGUUCGACUCUCAGCUCAGCUU
Molecule: non-coding RNA, 72 nt
Organism: Phrynosoma platyrhinos (Desert horned lizard)
Lineage: Eukaryota; Metazoa; Chordata; Lepidosauria; Squamata; Phrynosomatidae
Source: the annotation of a GenBank genome assembly